UACGGAGGGUGCAAGCAUUAAUCGGAUUUAUUGGGCGUAAAGGGCGUGUAGGCGUCUUAGUAAGUCAGCUGUGAAAUUUCGGUGCUCAACACCGAAGCUGCAAUUGAAACUGCUAAGAUAGAGGAUAGGCGGAGAAAACGGAAUUCCACAUGUAGCGGUGAAAUGCGUAGAUAUGUGGAGGAACACCGGUGGCGAAGGCGGUUUUCUAGUCUAUAACUGACGCUGAGGCGCGAAAGCAAGGGGAGCAAACAGGAUUAGAUACCCUCGUA
Molecule: ribosomal RNA, 269 nt
Filed under: uncultured prokaryote
Description: partial 16S ribosomal RNA
Rfam family: Bacterial small subunit ribosomal RNA
Source: RNAcentral